GAAAAAGCGAAGAAAGAGAAAAGUAUGCUAUAGACUGUUUUAAAGAGAGCAAGUGCCUAAGGCUGAGAGUACUUGUAGAUAAGUGUAGCAGAAGUUCCCUCUGGAGCUGUAGGCUGAAAAAAAGCAGUAAGUCUUACCGAGUGGGCUCGUUAGCGCCUUUAAGUGAUAGGCUUACUUUAGGUGCCUAUUAUGAGGGUGGUACCGCGGAGCAAGCCUUCGUCCCUUUU
This 227-nucleotide non-coding RNA is filed under the name Alkaliphilus metalliredigens. RNAcentral describes it as "T-box sequence". It matches the Rfam family "T-box leader". From Rfam's summary of the family: Uncharged tRNA acts as the effector for transcription antitermination of genes in the T-box leader family. T-boxes are found upstream of many aminoacyl-tRNA synthetase genes and some amino acid biosynthetic genes usually in Gram-positive bacteria. The anticodon of a specific tRNA base pairs to a specifier sequence within the T-box motif, and the NCCA acceptor tail of the tRNA base pairs to a conserved bulge in the T-box antiterminator hairpin. Lineage: Bacteria; Bacillati; Bacillota; Clostridia; Peptostreptococcales; Natronincolaceae. The record is from RNAcentral.